This 440-nucleotide ribosomal RNA is filed under the name uncultured bacterium. Its description in RNAcentral is "partial 16S ribosomal RNA". It matches the Rfam family "Bacterial small subunit ribosomal RNA", at positions 338 to 795 of the family's 1533-position model. The record is from RNAcentral.
CCUACGGGAGGCAGCAGUGGGGAAUAUUGCACAAUGGGGGAAACCCUGAUGCAGCGACGCCGCGUGAGUGAAGCAGUAUUUCGGUAUGUAAAGCUCUGUCAGCAGGGAAGAAAAUGACGGUACCUGACCAGGAAGCCCCGGCUAACUACGUGCCAGCAGCCGCGGUAAUACGGAGGGGGCAAGCGUUAUCCGGAUUUACUGGGUGUAAAGGGAGCGUAGGCGGCAGGGCAAGUCUGGAGUGAAAGGCGGAGGCUCAACCCCCGGACUGCUCUGGAAACUGCCAGGCUGGAGUGCGGGAGAGGUAAGGGGAAUUCCUAGUGUAGCGGUGAAAUGCGUAGAUAUUAGGAGGAACACCAGUGGCGAAGGCGGCUUACUGGACUGUAACUGACGUUGAGGCUCGAAAGCGGGGGGAGCAAACAGGAUUAGAUACCCCAGUAGUC